CACGUAGGGGGCAAGCGUUGUCCGGAUUUAUUGGGCGUAAAGAGCUCGUAGGUGGUUCGGUAAGUCGGGUGUUAAACCCCCAGGCUCAACCUGGGGACGCCACUCGAUACUGCUGUGACUAGAGUCCGGUAGGGGAGCGUGGAAUUCCUGGUGUAGCGGUGAAAUGCGCAGAUAUCAGGAGGAACACCAGCGGCGAAGGCGGCGCUCUGGGCCGGUACUGACACUGAGGAGCGAAAGCGUGGGUAGCUAACAGG
This 254-nucleotide ribosomal RNA is filed under the name uncultured bacterium. RNAcentral's name for it is "partial 16S ribosomal RNA". It matches the Rfam family "Bacterial small subunit ribosomal RNA", at positions 524 to 776 of the family's 1533-position model. The record is from RNAcentral.